GACGAACGCUGGCGGCGUGCUUAACACAUGCAAGUCGAACGGAAAGGCCCCUUUGGGGGUACUCGAGUGGCGAACGGGUGAGUAACACGUGAGUAACCUGCCCUUGACUUCGGGAUAACUUCAGGAAACUGGGGCUAAUACCGGAUAGGAAUCCUUGCUGCAUGGUGGGGGUUGGAAAGCUUCGGCGGUUUUGGAUGGACUCGCGGCUUAUCAGCUUGUUGGUGGGGUAGUGGCUUACCAAGGCUUUGACGGGUAGCCGGCCUGAGAGGGCGACCGGCCACAGUGGGACUGAGAUACGGCCCAGACUCCUACGGGAGGCAGAAGUGGGGAAUAUUGAACAAUGGGCGGAAGCCUGAUGCAGCAACGCCGCGUGCGGGAUGACGGCCUUCGGGUUGUAAACCGCUUUCAGCAGGGGCGAAGCUUGUGGUGACGGUACCUGCAGAAGAAGCACCGGCUAACUACGUG
Molecule: ribosomal RNA, 465 nt
Filed under: uncultured bacterium
Lineage: Bacteria
Description: partial 16S ribosomal RNA
Rfam family: Bacterial small subunit ribosomal RNA
Source: RNAcentral